This 499-nucleotide ribosomal RNA is filed under the name uncultured bacterium. RNAcentral's name for it is "partial 16S ribosomal RNA". It matches the Rfam family "Bacterial small subunit ribosomal RNA", at positions 28 to 507 of the family's 1533-position model. The record is from RNAcentral.
GACGAACGCUGGCGGCGUGCCUAAUACAUGCAAGUCGAGCGGACUUUCAAGAAGCUUGCUUUUUGAAAGUUAGCGGCGGACGGGUGAGUAACACGUGGGCAACCUGCCUGCAAGACGGGGAUAACUCCGGGAAACCGGGGCUAAUACCGGAUAAUAUCUUCCUUCGCAUGAAGGAAGGUUGAAAGGCGGCGCAAGCUGCCGCUUGCAGAUGGGCCCGCGGCGCAUUAGCUAGUUGGUGAGGUAACGGCUCACCAAGGCGACGACGCGUAGCCGACCUGAGAGGGUGAUCGGCCACACUGGGACUGAGACACGGCCCAGACUCCUACGGGAGGCAGCAGUAGGGAAUCUUCCGCAAUGGACGAAAGUCUGACGGAGCAACGCCGCGUGAGCGAAGAAGGUCUUCGGAUCGUAAAGCUCUGUUGUCAGGGAAGAACAAGUACCGUUCGAACAGGGCGGUACCUUGACGGUACCUGACCAGAAAGCCACGGCUAACUACGUG